Molecule: long non-coding RNA, 1659 nt
Filed under: Helianthus annuus (common sunflower)
Lineage: Eukaryota; Viridiplantae; Streptophyta; Magnoliopsida; Asterales; Asteraceae
Source: RNAcentral
AAGACUCUGUGUAAGAAAGAGAGAAUGCGGCGUCAAAGGUGAUGGGGUCGGCCACGGCGGCGCGCGGCGGAGCUGUGGCGGAUCCACGGCGGCGAGCAGGGUUUGUGACUGGGAUCCGCCGGCGAGCCGGGUUUGUGACUGUACACGAGUAGAGAGCGACGAGGGAUGUUAGAUCGAUGGCUGCCAUAGCUCCGACAGUGAUGACAGUCAAGCUGCUAGGGUUCGGACUAAGUUCUGGCAAGUUUCCGGUUCGUCGCAACAUGCAGAUCCUAGGUCGAGUCAGUGUUGGUGGUCGAUCACGGUUGUGUGACAUUAGUACUAUUUGACACCGUUUUACGCCCCGCCGCAACGCGGGGUGGGCUUUGGGGGUUUUCCAAAGAAAAAAUGGUUAUGCAUAUGGUUGUCGUAACCUUGGCUUUAGGGGUUUUCCAAAAAAAAAUUAUUAUUUUUUACUUUUCACCAAAAAGUAUUUCAUAAAUUACUUUUAACCUUGGCUUUAAGGUGUUUGAUCAAAUGCCUAUGAUUUUUUUAAUAUUAUUUUGUUAAUUCAUAGGUUAUCUAUUGAAUGUUUGACAUGAAUGUAUACAUAACAUCUUCAAGGUAUCAUUUCAGUUUUUAUAUAUGUCGGUUAAGUGCAGUGAAUAUGGUAGUAGUUGUGCAAUAUUAGAUUGUACAAAAGUGAACCUGUGCAAUAAAAGAUUGUACAAAAUUGAACAGUAGUGUAGUGGUACCUCUGGCCACCCAAUUGCCACUUUGCACCGACUUACACCAGUUGUUGAAGACGAGCCAGGGAUGAAGGAGGAGCAAGCGGCGUUUAUGAAGGAGCUAGAGACUUUCCACUAGGGCAGGGAAGAGAAACGGCGGCGUCGUUUAGGGUUCCGCCGCAAACACAACGCCGGUGGCGACUGUGGUUGACGUUGCAAGCUCCGGUUCUGGCAAGAGAAGAAUAUUUGAUACUUUUUCAGCAUAAUUCGUUAAUCUUGAAUCGGUUCCGGUGAAGCUCCGAUGAACCAUUCAACACUUGAAUGUCUAAGAUCUGUUUAGAUCGGUGUCUCUCAGGCCACCAUCGAUGGGUUAGGGAGGGAGCUGUGGCACAUGAAGACUUUGAGGGGCAUAAAGUGACUAUUGGAGCUGGUGAUUUGCAGUGGAUGACUUACAGAUAGACAUAAGAGGGAUGGGAAUCAUUGGGAUGACUAUUCGUGUAUGGAUUGAUAGAUAAAAAUUGUUGAGCUUUGGAAACCCAAAACAUAUUGGAUGGGGCCUCUGGUGUGGAAGUGAUAAAAAAGUCAAGGGUCGAGUUCGGUAUCAGGUGAUACCUUAGCCGAGUAAAAGGGUUUUUGAAGACUAUUAGGAUGCUUUCAAUGAUGACUGGGAGCCUCGGAUUAGUGGUCAAGACUAAUGUUCAUGAUAUUUGGGUCAAAGAAAAAUGUUAAUUGCAUAUUAUCUCAACAAGUUAUAUUUAUUUGUGAAUGUGUUCUUGCUGUUGUAAUCUCAUUUGCCAUUCUUGCUUUGGGAGGCUCAAAGAUCAUGAUGUAUGAUUUAGAUAGAAAGGUAGAUAAGAAGACUUUGUACAACAGUUAUUGUUAUUUUUUUUUAUUUUUGGUACUAACUAGGCGGAAUACUUUAUAAAACAAAUAUUUUAAUUCGUCUGUACUUUUG